GAUCAUUAAAGAGUUUAAUAAAACUCCUAAACCCCUGUGAACUUACUGGUGUUUGGCUCGCCAGAUAUAGUCUGGUCCGUAAGCAAAUCGACUGCCUGCCUGUGUAACAGGCAGGUAAGCUUUUGUCGCGGGGUCCCGGAUCAACCCGGGCUAGAUAGCCACUUAACUAUAUACUUUUUAUAAAAUCUGUGAACUUACUAGGUUGGAUUCUCGCCAGAGAUAGUCUGGUUUCUGCUUCGCGGAUCGCCUACCCGUGACACCUGUCACAGGCAGGUAUGCUUCUGCCGCGGGUCCGUAAGUAAAUCAUCUGUUUCGCAAGGGACGGCGAUUUACCUGUGGAAGAGGUCCGCUAACUAUAUUCUUAGUAUAGUUUGUUCACUAGAUCAAACAUUCUGAAUAAAAACUUAAACUAGUUAAAACUUUCAACAACGGAUCUCUUGGUUCUGGCAUCGAUGAAGAACGCAGCGAAAUGCGAUAAGUAAUGUGAAUUGCAGAAUUCAGUGAAUCAUCGAAUCUUUGAACGCACAUUGCGCCCAUUAGUAUUCUAGUGGGCAUGCCUGUUCGAGCGUCAUUUCAACCCUUAAGCCCCUGUUGCUUAGCGUUGGGAGCCUACAGCCUGCUGUAGCUCCUUAAAGGUAGUGGCGGAGUCGGUUCACACUCUAGACGUAGUAAAAUCUUUAUCUCGCCUAUGGAUGAGCCGGCGCCUUGCCGUAAAACCCCUAAUCUUUCACAAGGUUGACCUCGGAUCAGGUAGGAAUACCCGCUGAACUUAAGCAUAUCAAUAAGCGGAGGAAAAGAAACCAACAGGGAUUGCCCUAGUAACGGCGAGUGAAGCGGCAACAGCUCAAAUUUGAAAUCUGGCCUUCGGGUCCGAGUUGUAAUUUGCAGAGGAUGCUUUGGGCGCGGUGCCUUCCGAGUUCCCUGGAACGGGACGCCUUAGAGGGUGAGAGCCCCGUACGGUUGGACACCAAGCCUCUGUAAAGCUCCUUCGACGAGUCGAGUAGUUUGGGAAUGCUGCUCUAAAUGGGAGGUAAAUUUCUUCUAAAGCUAAAUAUUGGCCAGAGACCGAUAGCGCACAAGUAGAGUGAUCGAAAGAUGAAAAGCACUUUGAAAAGAGGGUUAAAUAGCACGUGAAAUUGUUGAAAGGGAAGCGUUUACGACCAGACCUUUUCGCAGCGGAUCAUCCGGUGUUCUCACCGGUGCACUUCGCUGGGUUGAGGCCAGCAUCGGUUUCCGCAGGGGGAUAAAAGCCUGGGGAACGUAGUCCCUCGGGAGUGUUAUAGCCCCUCGCACAAUACCCUUGCG
RNAcentral lists this unclassified non-coding RNA (1305 nucleotides) under leaf metagenome. RNAcentral describes it as "partial contains internal transcribed spacer 1, 5.8S ribosomal RNA, internal transcribed spacer 2, and large subunit ribosomal RNA". The stretch from base 737 to 1305 matches the Rfam family "Eukaryotic large subunit ribosomal RNA", at positions 1 to 580 of the family's 3401-position model. The record is from RNAcentral.